Molecule: ribosomal RNA, 468 nt
Filed under: uncultured bacterium
Lineage: Bacteria
Description: partial 16S ribosomal RNA
Rfam family: Bacterial small subunit ribosomal RNA
Source: RNAcentral
GACGAACGCUGGCGGCGUGCUUAACACAUGCAAGUCGAACGGAAAGGCCCUGCUUUUGUGGGGUGCUCGAGUGGCGAACGGGUGAGUAACACGUGAGUAACCUGCCCUUGACUUUGGGAUAACUUCAGGAAACUGGGGCUAAUACCGGAUAGGAGCUCCUGCUGCAUGGGGGGGGUUGGAAAGUUUCGGCGGUUGGGGAUGGACUCGCGGCUUAUCAGCUUGUUGGGGGGGUAGUGGCUUACCAAGGCUUUGACGGGUAGCCGGCCUGAGAGGGUGACCGGCCCCAUUGGGCCUGAGGUACGGCCCAGACUCCUACGGGAGGCAGCAGUGGGGAAUAUUGCACAGUGGGCGGAAGCCUGAUGCAGCAACGCCGCGUGCGGGAUGACGGCCUUCGGGUUGUAAACCGCUUUCGCCUGUGACGAAGCGUGAGUGACGGUAAUGGGUAAAGAAGCACCGGCUAACUACGUG